Molecule: non-coding RNA, 23 nt
Filed under: Cricetulus griseus (Chinese hamster)
Lineage: Eukaryota; Metazoa; Chordata; Mammalia; Rodentia; Cricetidae
Source: RNAcentral
GAAAGGAAAAAUGGAAGAAAAAG